RNAcentral lists this unclassified non-coding RNA (402 nucleotides) under soil metagenome. RNAcentral's name for it is "partial contains 5.8S ribosomal RNA, internal transcribed spacer 2, and large subunit ribosomal RNA". The stretch from base 1 to 121 matches the Rfam family "5.8S ribosomal RNA", at positions 35 to 154 of the family's 154-position model. The record is from RNAcentral.
GAUGAAGAACGCAGCGAAAUGCGAUAAGUAAUGUGAAUUGCAGAAUUCAGUGAAUCAUCGAAUCUUUGAACGCACCUUGCGCCCUUUGGCUAUUCCGAAGGGCAUGCCUGUUUGAGUAUCGUGAACACCUCAACUCUCAUGGUUUGCCAUGAUGAGCUUGGACUUUGGGGGUUUUGCUGGCCUUUGGUCGGCUCCUCUCAAACGGAUCAGCUUUCCAGUGUUUGGUGGCGUCACGGGUGUGAUAAUUAUCUACGCCUGUGGUUUUCUGCCAGAUAACCUUCAGCGAUGGAGGUUCGCUGGGGCUCAUAAAUGUCUCUCUUCAGUGGAGACAGCUUUUUGGACGUUUGAUCUCAAAUCAGGUAGGACUACCCGCUGAACUUAAGCAUAUCAAUAAGCGGAGGA